GAUGAACGCUAGCGGCAGGCUUAACACAUGCAAGUCGAGGGGUAGAAGUCUUCGGACUUUGAGACCGGCGCACGGGUGCGUAACGCGUAUGCAAUCUGCCUUGUACAAAGGGAUAGCCCAGAGAAAUUUGGAUUAAUACCUUAUAGUAUAUAGAUGGGGCAUCACAAUUAUAUUAAAGAUUUAUCGGUACAAGAUGAGCAUGCGUCCCAUUAGCUAGUUGGUAUGGUAACGGCAUACCAAGGCAAUGAUGGGUAGGGGUCCUGAGAGGGAGAUCCCCCACACUGGAACUGAGACACGGACCAGACUCCUACGGGAGGCAGCAGUAAGGAAUAUUGGUCAAUGGGCGCAAGCCUGAACCAGCCAUGCCGCGUGCAGGAUGAAGCAUCUAUGGUGUGUAAACUGCUUUUGUACGGGAAGAAACACCUCUUCGUGAAGAGGCUUGACGGUACCGUAAGAAUAAGGAUCGGCUAACUCCGUGCCAGCAGCCGCCGUAA
RNAcentral lists this ribosomal RNA (494 nucleotides) under uncultured bacterium. RNAcentral describes it as "partial 16S ribosomal RNA". It matches the Rfam family "Bacterial small subunit ribosomal RNA", at positions 28 to 523 of the family's 1533-position model. The record is from RNAcentral.